This 442-nucleotide ribosomal RNA is filed under the name uncultured bacterium. RNAcentral describes it as "bacterial SSU rRNA". It matches the Rfam family "Bacterial small subunit ribosomal RNA", at positions 29 to 507 of the family's 1533-position model. The record is from RNAcentral.
AACGAACGCUGGCGGCAGGCCUAACACAUGCAAGUCGAACGGGAAGGUUCCUUCGGGAACUGGAUAGUGGCGCACGGGUGAGUAACGCGUGGGAAUCUACCUUUCAGUCUGGGAUAACAGUUGGAAACGACUGCUAAUACCGGAUACGUCCUUUGGAGAAGGAUUUAUUGCUGAAAGAUGAGCCCGCGUCCAAUUAGGUAGUAGGUGUGGUAAUGGCGCACCUAGCCGACGAUUGGUAACUGGUCUGAGAGGAUGACCAGUCACACUGGGACUGAGACACGGCCCAGACUCCUACGGGAGGCAGCAGUGGGGAAUAUUGGACAAUGGAGGCAACUCUGAUCCAGCCAUGCCGCGUGAGUGAAGAAGGCCUUAGGGUUGUAAAGCUCUUUCAGAUGUGACGAUGAUGACGGUAACAUCAGAAGAAGCCCCGGCUAACUUCGUG